CUACCACGCGAGUGGAUGCCAAUCCCCAAAACCUCUCUCAGUUCGGACUGGAGUCUGCAACCCGACUCCACGAAGCUGGAUUCGCUAGUAAUCGCGCAUCAGCCACGGCGCGGUGAAUACGUUCCCGGGCCUUGUACACACCGCCCGUCAAGCCAUGGGAGCCGGGGGUACCUGAAGUGCGUAACCGCGAGGAGCGCCCUAGGGUAAAACUGGUGACUGGGGCUAAGUCGUAACAAGGUAUC
Molecule: ribosomal RNA, 242 nt
Filed under: uncultured bacterium
Lineage: Bacteria
Description: partial 16S ribosomal RNA
Rfam family: Bacterial small subunit ribosomal RNA
Source: RNAcentral